RNAcentral lists this unclassified non-coding RNA (211 nucleotides) under Hevea brasiliensis (rubber tree). Lineage: Eukaryota; Viridiplantae; Streptophyta; Magnoliopsida; Malpighiales; Euphorbiaceae. The record is from RNAcentral.
AUGACAAAGAAGAGAAAUCAUUCCAUCUAUGUUUAUUAAAUCUCAAAAUAGUCCUUAAUUAGGCCAAAACAGACUGCAGCUUUAAAAGAUAUCACACUGAAAGGAGGAAAAAAAACACUAAUAGAAAAAUGCUUUGGUAAACUAAUUUUAGGAUAUCAUGAUCAAACUUUCGGAAUGCAAUUAGACAAGUAGAAAGCAAAAUACUAAGCCA